RNAcentral lists this ribosomal RNA (222 nucleotides) under uncultured bacterium. RNAcentral's name for it is "partial 16S ribosomal RNA". It matches the Rfam family "Bacterial small subunit ribosomal RNA", at positions 329 to 539 of the family's 1533-position model. The record is from RNAcentral.
AGCUCGACACCUACGGGAAGCAGCAGUAGGGAAUCUUCCACAAUGGACGCAAGUCUGAUGGAGCAACGCCGCGUGAGUGAAGAAGGUCUUCGGAUCGUAAAACUCUGUUGUUAGAGAAGAACACGAGUGAGAGUAACUGUUCAUUCGAUGACGGUAUCUAACCAGCAAGUCACGGCUAACUACGUGUCAGCAGCCGCGGUAAUCUGAGCGGGCUGGCAAGGC